This 256-nucleotide ribosomal RNA is filed under the name uncultured archaeon. Its description in RNAcentral is "partial 16S ribosomal RNA". It matches the Rfam family "Bacterial small subunit ribosomal RNA", at positions 521 to 776 of the family's 1533-position model. The record is from RNAcentral.
UAAUACGUAGGUGGCAAGCGUUGUCCGGAAUUAUUGGGCGUAAAGCGCGCGCAGGCGGUCUUUUAAGUCUGAUGUGAAAGCCCACGGCUCAACCGUGGAGGGUCAUUGGAAACUGGGAGACUUGAGUGCAGAAGAGAAGAGUGGAAUUCCACGUGUAGCGGUGAAAUGCGUAGAGAUGUGGAGGAACACCAGUGGCGAAGGCGACUCUUUGGUCUGUAACUGACGCUGAGGCGCGAAAGCGUGGGGAGCAAACAGG